CCUACGGGUGGCUGCAGUGAGGAAUAUUGGUCAAUGGCCGAGAGGCUGAACCAGCCAAGUCGCGUGAGGGAAGACGGCCCUACGGGUUGUAAACCUCUUUUGUCGGGGAGCAAAGCGAACCACGUGUGGUUCAUUGAGAGUACCCGAAGAAAAAGCAUCGGCUAACUCCGUGCCAGCAGCCGCGGUAAUACGGAAGGUCCGGGCGUUAUCCGGAUUUAUUGGGUUUAAAGGGAGCGUAGGCCGCAUGUCAAGCGUGCUGUGAAAUGUCCGGGCUCAACCCGGGCCUUGCAGCGCGAACUGGCGUGCUUGAGUCCGCGGAAAGCAGGCGGAAUUCGUCGUGUAGCGGUGAAAUGCUUAGAUAUGACGAAGAACCCCGAUUGCGAAGGCAGCUUGCUGCAGCGGAACUGACGCUGAUGCUCGAAAGCGCGGGUAUCGAACAGGAUUAGAUACCCGUGUAGUC
This 460-nucleotide ribosomal RNA is filed under the name uncultured bacterium. Its description in RNAcentral is "partial 16S ribosomal RNA". It matches the Rfam family "Bacterial small subunit ribosomal RNA", at positions 338 to 795 of the family's 1533-position model. The record is from RNAcentral.